AAGACCAUGCAUAACAACCUUAGCCUAUCUUCCAUAACUAUGUUCUCUUGUACGAACCCGGUAGAAGCAUCAACAACUGUCAUUAACAGCUGUCCUCGCCGUUCACCUAUGCCGCCGAACAGGUGAUCUGGAUCUUGACCUAUGCUGCCGAACAGGUGAUCUGGAUCUUGACCUAUGCUUCCGAACAGGUGAUCUUGACUUAUGCUUCCGAACAGGUGAUUUUGAUCUUGAUCUAUGCUUCCGAACAGGUGAUCUGGAUCUUGACUUAUGCUUCCGAACAGGUGAUCUGGAUCUUGACCUAUGCUUCCGAACAGGUGAUCUGGAUCUUGACCUAUGCUUCCGAACUGGUGAUUUGGAUCUUGACCUUCUUACCCUGCAUAAAAAGGAAACCCUGUAAAUAAACAAGGCACAGCUGUAGUAUAAAUGGGAACCCAUACAAAUUCACCUGAGUAGCUUAUAUUGUUAUAUGAUGAUGGUAGUUUGUCUCAAAAAUAUAAACCUUAAACAUGAUUAACUUAAUGGCAACAAACCUGG
Molecule: long non-coding RNA, 534 nt
Filed under: Medicago truncatula (barrel medic)
Lineage: Eukaryota; Viridiplantae; Streptophyta; Magnoliopsida; Fabales; Fabaceae
Description: long non-coding RNA (MTRU_LNC006393)
Source: RNAcentral